AUCUGCUACUGUAUCAACCGGAUUUCGGAAUAAAAAUGGCGACCGAUGGUUGUUUCUUUUUCCGAAAAGAGGGUGAAUCCGGACAUUGGACUCCGCUCUCUCUCUUUUCGGAAUGCAUCCUAAUCCGAAACGGUUCGGUGACACACACGGGCUCUGCUUUCAUAAAUCGCCAGGACUUGAAAGGAUGUUACCUUUUUUCGCCGUGGCAAUGGAGGAGCACUGGACAAACAUCGUUAGCGAAAGCCAAAGUAUGAUGCGGAUGGAAUUAAGUGCAUAAAUUGAAGGAAGAAAUGUGUUUGCACAGAGGUAUUAUUAUGCAAAUUGGGGAUUUAUUUAAGGGUUUAGAAAUAGGUAAAUUUGGCUUGGCGCUUGUAAAUAGAUGGUAGAAGAGGUAGAGCUCGUGUGACUGCAGGAAAUGGGCUUUGAAUAAUUUGUUCCCAAACCCAUAAUUCAAUGUUUUUUUGGAACAUGCUCUUAGAACUCAAUAGUUUAUUUUUUUCAUUAUAAAAAUGAUCAACAAAUUUCGCCUGAAAUUUUUGUUUUUAUUUUCAGGAAUAAGAACUCCAAGAAUCACUUCAACUUUCCCGUGGAUACUUGAGCGAAUCCUGCAAGAUAUCCUAUGUUAGAAAUUUCGUUCCUCUAAUCUGCAGGGACUUCUUCAGAAAUGGUUAUAUAAAUCUCCGAUAAAGUUCAACCUUACCUUGGAUAUUAUUAUGAAAAUCCAUCAAGCAUUGAAAAAUAACAUCAGGAAUCAUUUGUAAGAUCUUUCUUGAAAUUUUAUGUGCGAAUUUUAAAAUGACAUCAAUAUCCAAAUCGAUUUCACUCGGUUAUGAUCGGUUCAACUUGGUGGGGUUCUAACAUUUUUGAGCAUGGUACCUUCCCGGCAAAAAAUACGUGGCUUUUUAAGUUAUUUUUUGAGACUAUUCAAUCUUGUUUCCUAUCAUAAACGGAUUUAAUUAUUAACAAAUAAAUCUUAAACUUGAACAAACAUUUCGAUAUACCUGUAAGUUUGUAGCUCAAACUCUGGAAAGUCCACAAAAAAUAUUGCAAGGG
This is a long non-coding RNA of Aedes aegypti (yellow fever mosquito), 1053 nucleotides long. RefSeq lists it as uncharacterized. The transcript has 3 exons. The record is from RefSeq and is a predicted model, not a curated record. NCBI's taxonomy places the organism in Eukaryota, Metazoa, Arthropoda, Insecta, Diptera, Culicidae.